Molecule: ribosomal RNA, 1203 nt
Filed under: uncultured bacterium
Lineage: Bacteria
Description: bacterial SSU rRNA
Rfam family: Bacterial small subunit ribosomal RNA
Source: RNAcentral
AGAGUUUGAUCCUGGCUCAGAUUGAACGCUGGCGGCAGGCCUAACACAUGCAAGUCGAGCGGUAACAUUUCUAGCUUGCUAGAAGAUGACGAGCGGCGGACGGGUGAGUAAUGCUUGGGAAUAUGCCUUUAGGUGGGGGACAACCAUUGGAAACGAUGGCUAAUACCGCAUAAUGUCUUUGGACCAAAGGGGGCUUCGGCUCUCGCCUUUAGAUUAGCCCAAGUGGGAUUAGGUAGUUGGUGAGGUAAUGGCUCACCAAGCCGACGAUCCCUAGCUGGUUUGAGAGGAUGAUCAGUCACACUGGAACUGAGACACGGUCCAGACUCCUACGGGAGGCAGCAGUGGGGAAUAUUGCACAAUGGGCGCAAGCCUGAUGCAGCCAUGCCGCGUGUGUGAAGAAGGCCUUCGGGUUGUAAAGCACUUUCAGUUGUGAGGAAAGGUUAGUAGUUAAUACCUGCUAGCUGUGACGUUAGCAACAGAAGAAGCACCGGCUAACUCCGUGCCAGCAGCCGCGGUAAUACGGAGGGUGCGAGCGUUAAUCGGAAUUACUGGGCGUAAAGCGUACGCAGGCGGUUUGUUAAGCGAGAUGUGAAAGCCCCGGGCUCAACCUGGGAACUGCAUUUCGAACUGGCAAGCUAGAGUGUGAUAGAGGGUGGUAGAAUUUCAGGUGUAGCGGUGAAAUGCGUAGAGAUCUGAAGGAAUACCGAUGGCGAAGGCAGCCACCUGGGUCAACACUGACGCUCAUGUACGAAAGCGUGGGGAGCAAACGGGAUUAGAUACCCCGGUAGUCCACGCCGUAAACGAUGUCUACUAAGGAGUUCGGGUUUUUCGGAACUGUCUUCCAAAGCUAACGCAUUAACUAGACCGCCUGGGGGAGUACGGCCGCAAGGUUGAAACUCAAAUGAAUUGACGGGGGCCCGCACAGGCGGUGGAGCAUGGUGGUUUAUUUCGAUGCAACGCGAAAAACCUUACCUACCCUUGGACUUCCAGAAGGACUUACUAAGAGAUUAGUUUGGGUGCUUUCGAGACUCUGGAAAACAGGGUGCCUGAAAGGGCUGACGUCAGCUCGGUGUUGUGGGAAAUGUUUGGCUAAGGUCCCGCAACUGAAGGCCAACCCUCUUCCCUUAGUGGCAACGCAAUUCCGUUCGAAAUCUAGGAAGCUGCCGUUAUAUCCGGAGAAAGUGGGGGACGCUACCCGAAGUC